AAAUAAGUAUGAACAAAUAAAAAUUUCUAAUUUUAUAUUUUAAUAGUUAAAAUCUAUUUUUAUUUU
RNAcentral lists this transfer RNA (66 nucleotides) under Proterops sp. QL-2014. Its description in RNAcentral is "tRNA-Ser". The record is from RNAcentral. Lineage: Eukaryota; Metazoa; Arthropoda; Insecta; Hymenoptera; Braconidae.